GGUUUACCAGAAUUGAAUGCUUUGAUUUUGGGAGAGUUUGGGGUGUUCAAGCCUAAAUCAAUCAUAAGAAUAGGUUACUGCCAUGGUCACUAUUUGUCCAUGAAGGAUGACACCAACAGACUUCUCAUGGCUACACUCGAAGAUGAGAUGGGCCAAAAUAUGAAUGAAGGACUGCAGUAUUUCAGGGAUGUUUUGUUUGUUGAAGGGGAGAUUUUGCUCGCGGCACUGUUAUGGAAUUUGUCCUCAUCUGAAGCUGAGUGCCGCCUUUACCCGAAGAGUUCAUAAACCUUUUUUUGUUUUUGGUGUGGAUGUGUAUUAGUGUAUGUGUCCAUGGCUCUUUAUUUUUGCCUAAUGUAGUAGCUAACUACAUAAGAAAUGUUAUUAGGGAUUUUUAAAUCCAAGGAGCACAUGCAAACAAAAACUACUUUGCAGUCUUUUCAUAUUUAAAUAAACCAUUUCAAUAUAAUUAAAUAUUGGCACUUCAAUUUUUUAUCAUGAAGGUUUUGUAAAAUUGCAAUUUGUAUAUGAUUUACUUUAAGUGCCUUGUUAUAUAUUAGAACAUAUUAUUUUAAUCAUAAUAUUCCAAUCCCUCUGAUUGGCUUAAAGUUGGUCACAUGAUUAAGUAUAUAACAGCAUAUAGACUUGAGUUACUAUUUAUAGAAUCUGAAAUGCAUAUCAACUUGAUGUUUCUUAAAAUGGAGUUAAUUUUCUGUAAAGCGAAAAAAAGUAAUCAUUGCAAAUAAUUUCAUUUACGUGACAUGUUCUUGUUUAAUAAUGUUAUAAUAUAACAGUAUCUGUAUUGUACAUAUUGUCAUUCUUAUCCAUCACGUGAUCAUUAUUGAUCCAUUUACCAAAAGAGAAAGCAUGGUUUAUUGAACUGCUGAAUUUUUUUAACCCACCAUCCACCCCAUCUGCCACCAAUGCUUGUUAUUUCUUUCAGGUUGACAUUUUUGUUAUGUUUUAACCAUCUUUUUAUGAUAGUGUUCGAAUGGGAUAAAGUGAUUUUUAAUAUUCAUUCUCCAGCGGACGUUCUAACUGAAAAAGUAAAUUUUUGUACAUUGUAAUAAAUAGCAAUUCCAUGUAUUAGAUUACUGAGAUUGAGUCCGCCAUUCAUUUUGUGUACCUCGCAAAUUUGCUUCUGUCUGCAGCUUUCCUUUUGAUUUUUAAACAUUAAUCAGUGUUACUUUUUAUAUAUAUUUUUUCCUCAGCGGUGAGGGAAGCAUUUUUUGUGUUCAAUUUAAUGCCUAUCUGAUUGCUUUGUUAUUGGCUGUUUGUUAUUUUGUUUUCCCACCUUUUUUGAUGGCAGGCAGCAGUUUUGAGCAUUUUGUAUAUGUCUUCGGAACUUAUGAUGUUUAUAAGGGGGUCAACUUGAAAUACAUGUAUAUUGUAAUUUGUGAAAGAUUACAGGGUUUGAAUUCUUAUUCUAGUCUGGUUGACCCCCCUUUUGCCUAUGUACAUCAUGUUACAAUGUCAUUAUGGUUCUGGGGGUCAGAUUGUUUAAUAUUUUGACUAACAUGUGUAAUACUCUAUAUUUGAGUCCUCCUUUUAAUGACCCCAAUUUUAUUAACUGUGUUUACCUUUCCGUCAUUUACAAUAAUAAAUGACAUAUUUUACUUCUA
Molecule: long non-coding RNA, 1619 nt
Organism: Saccostrea cuccullata (small rock oyster)
Lineage: Eukaryota; Metazoa; Mollusca; Bivalvia; Ostreida; Ostreidae
Exons: 3
Source: RefSeq, a predicted model, not a curated record